UGAUAAUUAGUUUAACUUAAAACAAAUGAUUUCGACUCAUUAAAUCAUGAUCCAAUACAUGAUUAUCAU
RNAcentral lists this transfer RNA (69 nucleotides) under Tamandua mexicana (Mexican collared anteater). Its description in RNAcentral is "tRNA-Arg". It matches the Rfam family "tRNA". Rfam says of the family: Transfer RNA (tRNA) molecules are approximately 80 nucleotides in length. Lineage: Eukaryota; Metazoa; Chordata; Mammalia; Pilosa; Myrmecophagidae. RNAcentral also lists the same sequence under 1 other name. The record is from RNAcentral.